Molecule: unclassified non-coding RNA, 1530 nt
Filed under: uncultured fungus
Lineage: Eukaryota; Fungi
Description: sequence contains 18S rRNA gene, ITS1, 5.8S rRNA gene, ITS2, 28S rRNA gene
Rfam family: Eukaryotic large subunit ribosomal RNA (bases 589-1530)
Source: RNAcentral
GGAAGGAUCAUUAAAGUGGGCAGCCGGUUCUUCGCGCAUGCGGCGUCUACACGCUGUUGCGCACCCGGCUCCUCCGAAGAAGCGGGUGUGAACAGUGCCCAUAGCAAUCGCGCUCUGUACUUACGCGUUGCGGGCGAACCAGCCCUGCAAGCCUGUUCACAUGUCUGAAUCCGUGUCUUGUGUACCAUCUGUUUCCUCGGCGGGCUAGCCCGCCAACGAGGACCAUUGCAAACACUUUGUUGUAGCUGUAUUGUCUGAUAAAACAAUAAACAAUUAAAACUUUCAACAACGGAUCUCUUGGUUCUGGCAUCGAUGAAGAACGCAGCGAAAUGCGAUAAGUAGUGUGAAUUGCAGAAUUCAGUGAAUCAUCGAAUCUUUGAACGCACAUUGCGCCCUUUGGUAUUCCUUAGGGCAUGCCUGUUCGAGCGUCAUUUGAACCCUCAAGCUAUGCUUGGUGUUGGGCGCCUGUCCCGCCUCUGGCGCGGACUCGCCUUGAAGAUAUUGGCGGUUGGUGCAUCGGCCGGAAGCGCAGCAAAGACGCGCCUUUCCUGCUCUUGUGCCUCCUUCCAGGAAGCCAUAUUUAUAUCUUGACCUCGGAUCAGGUAGGGAUACCCGCUGAACUUAAGCAUAUCAAUAAGCGGAGGAAAAGAAACCAACAGGGAUUGCCUCAGUAACGGCGAGUGAAGCGGCAAUAGCUCAAAUUUGAAAUCUGGCUCCUUCGGGGUCCGAGUUGUAAUUUGUAGAGGGCGCUUUGGCGUCGGCAUCGGCCUAAGUUCCUUGGAACAGGGCGUCGCAGAGGGUGAGAACCCCGUACGUGGCCGCCUGCCUUCGCCGUGUAAAGCCCCUUCGACGAGUCGAGUUGUUUGGGAAUGCAGCUCUAAAUGGGAGGUAAAUUUCUUCUAAAGCUAAAUACUGGCCAGAGACCGAUAGCGCACAAGUAGAGUGAUCGAAAGAUGAAAAGCACUUUGGAAAGAGAGUCAAAAAGCACGUGAAAUUGUUGAAAGGGAAGCGCUUGCAGCCAGACUUGCCUGUAGUUGCUCAUCUAGGCUCUUGCCUGGUGCACUCUUCUGCGGGCAGGCCAGCAUCAGUUCCGGCGGUUGGAUAAAGGCCCAUGUCACGUACCUUCCCUUCGGGGUUGGCCUUAUAGGGUGGGCGAAAUGCAGCCAGCUGGAACUGAGGUCCGCGCAUCUGCUAGGAUGCUGGCGUAAUGGCUGUAAGCGGCCCGUCUUGAAACACGGACCAAGGAGUCUAACAUCUAUGCGAGUGUUUGGGUGUCAAGCCCGGGCGCGCAAUGAAAGUGAACGGAGGUGGGAACCCUCGGGUGCACCAUCGACCGAUCCUGAUGUCUUCGGAUGGAUUUGAGUAAGAGCAUAGCUGUUGGGACCCGAAAGAUGGUGAACUAUGCCUGAAUAGGGUGAAGCCAGAGGAAACUCUGGUGGAGGCUCGCAGCGGUUCUGACGUGCAAAUCGAUCGUCAAAUUUGGGCAUAGGGGCGAAAGACUAAUCGAACUAUCUAGUAGCUGGUUCCUGC